This 1328-nucleotide long non-coding RNA is filed under the name Heterocephalus glaber (naked mole-rat). RNAcentral describes it as "lncRNA (ENSHGLG00100040663.1)". Lineage: Eukaryota; Metazoa; Chordata; Mammalia; Rodentia; Bathyergidae. The record is from RNAcentral.
GUGCGGUUCGUAAGACCAAUCAGAAAAGUGCUGUUUUUCAGUCCUGUUGCUAUCUGGCAGGAAGUCCCGUGAGUUUUUGCCUAGCGCAGUCUACACCUGGUUCCGGGCCAAGUGGGUUUUUGACAACUGUCCUGGUGCCUUCUUUGCAUUGGGAGAAGCCAACUCCGGAACUGUGGAUACAAAAGAACCCCUGUCCGCCUCCUUGGGCGCUGUGCGCCUUCUCACGCGCCCGCUUACUCCGCAGAGCGUGAUCUUUUCCGCCUUCACUAAAUGUACGCUUGCGCCGCCUUUUCCGUGUCUCUUGUCUCGUCCACUUCUGUGUUCAGGACACCGAGGAUCCGGAGGGAAUCCCGCGGGACCCCCUAGCUGGUAACAGACAGGCCGUGGGUAGACGCUCCGGUUUCCGCACUGUGGCUAGAUAAACGCGGCUCUCCUAGAGCCAGAAUGAGGCACAGCCUUGAAAGAAACCACAGCCCCAGCGCUUUAUGUUUAAUUUACUUUUUUGAAGAACUGGGAUUGCCCUCCCCGCUUCAGUUAUUCUAAACUAAUGAGACGACCUGAAGGAAUGUACUGAGACCUCUGCGUUCGGUUGGGCUCUCAUCCAAAGAGCUUGGCGUCCCCUGGUGGCCAUGGAAACACAGAGCCUGCACCCCACCCCCACCCCCCGGCCAGGAUCUGCAGCGGGCGGGGAAGCCCGCGCUGGACGUCGCCCUCCUGGGUGGUACCAAAGAUUAAACCCAGCGACUAGGACAUGCUGGGCAAGCCCUCUACACCUGAGCUACGCUCCAGAACUUUUUAUUUGAGACAGGAUCUCUAAAUUGCCCAGGCUGCCCUUGAAUUUGAGCCGCUUCCAUGUCAGCCCUCCAAGCAGCUGGGACUGCAGGUGUGCACCAGCACAGCUGGCUUUAAGCAUCUUGCCUGGUAAAUGCUGUAGACAGCCUAGCAGCUCCUUUGGAACAUAGCAUUUAUUUUAAACUUAGUAGCUGAGUCAAACCAGUAAUAUGACAUUUACGGCAUGAUUAAUAGGAAAAAAGAAACCGGGGAAACACUAUGUGCUUAACAAUAUUGGUUCAAUAAAUGAGAGGACAUUCAGACCGUAUGAAGAACAGGAGCGGGUGUCCAAGAUGUAUCAUGAUGUUUCUGGUUCUAUGUGCUAGAAACUGGAAUCCACUGCUUCUAAGAUCACACAGUCAUUUCAAGUUACGAUUAUGAAGAUCAACGAAGCAACAUGGAAAAAUCUUAUGAUGUAAAGCGAAGAAUGCAGGACUCCAAGUGAGUAUAAGCAUUGUACUCUCAGCUGUGUCAAGAUAUGCAAAUAAAAGAGAAGG